Molecule: ribosomal RNA, 468 nt
Filed under: uncultured bacterium
Lineage: Bacteria
Description: partial 16S ribosomal RNA
Rfam family: Bacterial small subunit ribosomal RNA
Source: RNAcentral
GACGAACGCUGGCGGCGUGCUUAACACAUGCAAGUCGAACGGAAAGGCCCUGCUUUUGUGGGGUGCUCGAGUGGCGAACGGGUGAGUAACACGUGAGUAACCUGCCCUUGACUUUGGGAUAACUUCAGGAAACUGGGGCUAAUACCGGAUAGGAGCUCCUGCUGCAUGGUGGGGGUUGGAAAGUUUCGGCGGUUGGGGAUGGACUCGCGGCUGAUCAGCUUGUUGGUGGGGUAGUGGCUUACCAAGGCUUUGCCGGGUAGCCGGCCUGAGAGGGUGACCGGCCACAUCGGGACUGAGAUACGGCCGAGACUGCUGCGGGAGGCAGUAGUGGGGAAUAUUGCACAAUGGGCGGAAGCGUGAUGCAGCAACGCCGCGUGCGGGAUGACGGCCUUCGUGUUGUAAACCGCUUUGGCCUGUGACGAAGCGGGAGUGACGGUAAUGGGUAAAGAAGCACCGGCUAACUACGUG